Molecule: ribosomal RNA, 497 nt
Filed under: uncultured bacterium
Lineage: Bacteria
Description: partial 16S ribosomal RNA
Rfam family: Bacterial small subunit ribosomal RNA
Source: RNAcentral
GACGAACGCUGGCCGCGUGCCUAAUACAUGCAAGUUGAGCGCUGAAGGUUGGUACUUGUACCGACUGGAUGAGCAGCGAACGGGUGAGUAACGCGUGGGGAAUCUGCCUUUGAGCGGGGGACAACAUUUGGAAACGAAUGCUAAUACCGCAUAAAAACUUUAAACACAAGUUUUAAGUUUGAAAGAUGCAAUUGCAUCACUCAAAGAUGAUCCCGCGUUGUAUUAGCUAGUUGGUGAGGUAAAGGCUCACCAAGGCGAUGAUACAUAGCCGACCUGAGAGGGUGAUCGGCCACAUUGGGACUGAGACACGGCCCAAACUCCUACGGGAGGCAGCAGUAGGGAAUCUUCGGCAAUGGACGAAAGUCUGACCGAGCAACGCCGCGUGAGUGAAGAAGGUUUUCGGAUCGUAAAACUCUGUUGGUAGAGAAGAACGUUGGUGAGAGUGGAAAGCUCAUCAAGUGACGGUAACUACCCAGAAAGGGACGGCUAACUACGUG